Molecule: long non-coding RNA, 176 nt
Organism: Sapajus apella (tufted capuchin)
Lineage: Eukaryota; Metazoa; Chordata; Mammalia; Primates; Cebidae
Exons: 3
Source: RefSeq, a predicted model, not a curated record
GGCCGGGUAUGGUAGCUCAUGCCUAUAAUCCCAGCACUUUGGGAGGCCAAGACACGUGGAUCAUAAAGUCAAGAGAUAGAGAACAUCCUGGUCAACAUGGUAAAACUUAUUCUUUGCUAAAAAUACAAAAAUUAGCUGGGUAUGGUGGUGUGCACCUGUACAGUCAAAGCUACUUG